This 614-nucleotide ribosomal RNA is filed under the name uncultured bacterium. Its description in RNAcentral is "bacterial SSU rRNA". It matches the Rfam family "Bacterial small subunit ribosomal RNA", at positions 230 to 858 of the family's 1533-position model. The record is from RNAcentral.
CUCGCGGCCUAUCAGCUUGUUGGUGGGGUGAUGGCCUACCAAGGCGUCGACGGGUAGCUGGUCUGAGAGGACGAUCAGCCACACUGGGACUGAGACACGGCCCAGACUCCUACGGGAGGCAGCAGUGGGGAAUCUUGCGCAAUGGGCGGAAGCCUGACGCAGCAACGCCGCGUGAGGGAUGAAUGCCUUCGGGUUGUAAACCUCUUUCGAGCGGGGAAGAUUGUGACGGUACCUGCAGAAGAAGCUCCGGCCAACUACGUGCCAGCAGCCGCGGUAAUACGUAGGGAGCGAGCGUUGUCCGGAUUUAUUGGGCGUAAAGAGCUCGUAGGCGGCUUGGUAAGUCGGAUGUGAAACCUCUAGGCUCAACCUGGAGACGCCAUCCGAUACUGCUAUGGCUUGAGUCCGGUAGGGGCCCACGGAAUUCCUGGUGUAGCGGUGAAAUGCGCAGAUAUCAGGAGGAACACCGGUGGCGAAGGCGGUGGGCUGGGCCGGUACUGACGCUGAGGAGCGAAAGCGUGGGGAGCGAACAGGAUUAGAUACCCUGGUAGUCCACGCCGUAAACGUUGGGCACUAGGUGUGGGAUCUUUCAACGGGUUCCGUGCCGUAGCUAACGC